CCUACGGGUGGCAGCAGUAGGGGAUAUUGCUCAAUGGGGGAAACCCUGAUGCAGCAACGCCGCGUGGAGGAUGCAGGUUUUCGGAUUGUAAACUCCUUUUGUUAGAGAAGAUAAUGACGGUAUCUAACGAAUAGGCACCGGCUAACUCCGUGCCAGCAGCCGCGGUAAUACGUAGGGUGAAAGCGUUAAUCGGAAUCACUGGGCGUAAAGAGCGCGUAGGCGGGGUAGCAAGUCAGAUGUGAAAUCCUAUGGCUUAACCAUAGAACUGCAUUUGAAACUGUUGUUCUAGAGUAUGGGAGGGGUAGGUGGAAUUCUUGGUGGAGGGGUAAAAUCCGUAGAGAGCAAGAGGAAUACUCAUUGCGAAGGCGACCUGCUAGAACAUAACUGACGCUGAUGCGCGAAAGCGUGGGGAGCAAACAGGAUUAGAUACCCGGGUAGUC
This 440-nucleotide ribosomal RNA is filed under the name uncultured bacterium. RNAcentral's name for it is "partial 16S ribosomal RNA". It matches the Rfam family "Bacterial small subunit ribosomal RNA", at positions 338 to 795 of the family's 1533-position model. The record is from RNAcentral.